RNAcentral lists this long non-coding RNA (92 nucleotides) under Salvator merianae (Argentine black and white tegu). RNAcentral describes it as "lncRNA (ENSSMRG00000001996.1)". Lineage: Eukaryota; Metazoa; Chordata; Lepidosauria; Squamata; Teiidae. The record is from RNAcentral.
CGCGGGAGUUGCAGUUGAGGGAAGAGGAGGAGGCUUAGAAUCUAUAUGUGUUUGUGCAAAGCAGUUAACCAUUGAUGUAGAAAGGUUUUAUG